CCUACGGGUGGCAGCAGUGAGGAAUAUUGGUCAAUGGGCGGGAGCCUGAACCAGCCAAGCCGCGUGAGGGAAGAAGGUACAGCGUAUUGUAAACCUCUUUUGUCAGGGAACAAAGGCGGGGACUAGUCCCCGGAUGAGGGUACCUGAAGAAAAAGCAUCGGCUAACUCCGUGCCAGCAGCCGCGGUAAUACGGAGGAUGCGAGCGGUAUAGGGAUUUAUGGGGUUAAAAGGGUGCGCAGGCGGCCUGUUAGGUCAGCGGUAAAAGCACGGGGCUAAACCCCGGCGGGCCGUUGAAACUGGCGGGCUGGAGUUGGAGAGAGGUACGCGGAAGUCGCGGUGGAGCGGUGAAAUGCUUAGAUAUCGCGCAGAACCCCGAUUGCGAAGGCAGCGUACCGGCUCCACACUGACGCUGAGGCACGAAAGCGUGGGUAUCGAACAGGAUUAGAUACCCCAGUAGUC
This 459-nucleotide ribosomal RNA is filed under the name uncultured bacterium. RNAcentral's name for it is "partial 16S ribosomal RNA". It matches the Rfam family "Bacterial small subunit ribosomal RNA", at positions 338 to 795 of the family's 1533-position model. The record is from RNAcentral.